Molecule: unclassified non-coding RNA, 759 nt
Filed under: uncultured cyanobacterium
Lineage: Bacteria; Bacillati; Cyanobacteriota
Description: partial 16S-23S ribosomal RNA intergenic spacer
Rfam family: tRNA (bases 227-300)
Source: RNAcentral
UAGAGAAAAGCAUCUUAUUUAGAUGAAAAGAAAGAAAUUAGUCCUUAUAUUUUUAAGUUAAAAAAGUGGUUAGUGGUUAGUAAUUAGUAGUUAGUGAAUUCGUAUAUAAUACGAACCACUAAAAACUAUCAACUAUCAAUCAACAACUAAAUUCAAAUUGCUGUCUUAUGAUUAUGUUAUAUAAUAUUGAGAUUUAGGUUUUUAAAAGGAUCUAGAGAUAAGUGAGAGUCUCAUAGCUCAGCUGGUUAGAGCGCUACACUGAUAAUGUAGAGGUCGGCAGUUCGAGUCUGCCUGAGACUACUUUUUAAAUUCGGAGUUUAGAAUUCAUAAUUCUGAAUUAAAGAAAACGUUCAUUAGAAAUAAAAAAGGAAAUUUUAGAGGUUGAGUGUAGCCGUUAUAAGUACUGUUAACUGAUAACUGUUAGCUGAUAACUGAAAAGACGGGGGAUUAGCUCAGCUGGCUAGAGCGCCUGCCUUGCACGCAGGAGGUCAUCGGUUCGACUCCGAUAUUCUCCACCGGGCAAUGCCCGGAGAUAGUAAUUUAUCUCUGGCGUAUUGCAUGUGAGUGCAUAGAUAAUUUAAUUGUCUAUCGCGACUCGCGAUGUUCAUUGACAUAUUGGGACAAAGUGAAUUACAAUUAUCUUCAGGGAUAUUGUAAUCACAAAGAAACACAAAAAAUAAAAUAAGAGUAAAGUACGAUAGAUUUGCUAUUAUAUUGAUAUAGUAGUAUUUAUUUAAGAUUAGAAUUAAAAGGACUAGU